UAUGCUUUUGUAACAUUGGAGUAUUACAGGAUAUGCUUUGGUUGUAUAUGCUUUUGUAACAUUGGAGGAACACUCAGGAACCAGACAGUUUCGACAAACGAAGUAAUAAUUUUACUGCCUAAAACGGAAAAACAAUGGUGUGACUGUUGAUAAAAGCUAGUGUCUACGUGGUCAGGAAGAUCCGGGCAUCCAUUGCUCAGGGAGAGCAAAAAGAAGAGCCCAUCCUGACACCAUGUAGUGCUAAAGCUCAAAGAAGAGUGGGGCAGAAGCCGAUAGGAUCCUCCUCCACUGAUGCACUUAACCCAGAACCUGCUGAACACGUCGGUGGAGCAGCAGGGUCAGGGAUGACAGUCGUGGAGAAAUGUGGUUCUUGACGCUAAAGACCUGGCUGGAUACUGGCACUAGGAUCAACUUAAUGGCCAAACAAUUAUGAUUUAUUAUAUGUCUGUAUUUAAAGUACAGGGAAAUGAUAUAUUUUAAUUUAUGAAUAUUUUUUUCAGGAUUUUUUGGCAAAACACAUAUCUAUAAAACAGACUCAAAGUGCAUUAUUUUAGUAUUUUUAUUUAAAGCAUUCAAGUUGUACUUAGUGACCAAUGUCCAGCUCAGAAUAACACUCAAGAUGGUCUUUUUCACAACAGACAUGUUGACUCUCCAGAAAAUAAAUGCAAGUAAUAAAUAAAAUGUUUUCACUUUUCUGAGCUACCCUGCUCUGUACAGUGAUGUGCUUUGGAACAUCUGAUUGUAAACUUGUUUGUUUUGAAGUGUAACUGGUUAGUCACCAUGUUGUGACAAAAGUUGAAAGUUAUGUACUGCAGUGUUUGAAGGCUGACUCAUCAACCUCUCUGUUCAGGGGCUGAGUAGACCUGAUGUUUCUGUUGAUACAUUAUUAAAUAAAUUGGU
Melanotaenia boesemani (Boeseman's rainbowfish) is the source of this 900-nucleotide long non-coding RNA. RefSeq lists it as uncharacterized. The transcript has 3 exons. The record is from RefSeq and is a predicted model, not a curated record. NCBI's taxonomy places the organism in Eukaryota, Metazoa, Chordata, Actinopteri, Atheriniformes, Melanotaeniidae.